GUUGAAACUUCGAGAAGGUCAGUUGCUUGAGAGUCAGCGACAAGGAGCUAUUCAAACAUUCUACGGAUCGUUUACACUCGAGUCUGCCCAAGCACGAGCUGUAGUCGACGUCGACAGCAGCAGCUGCUGCUGACUAUCCAUCACACAGAACCCGAACUUAGAGCAAGUCAGCUGUUUCGUGACGCAACGGCAUCGUGAUGCAACGGCAUGAACUUCUAGUUACGUCAGCGCUAUUUCUAACAAAAAAAAGCCCGUGAACAGAUUACGUCGCCACAGAUGCGGGUUAUCAUCUCCGGUUCCGCUCUGCCGUUCGCCAGCUAUUAUCGGAUGAACCGUCCGUACGACGCCUACACUCUGCUUUAGAAGUGACACAAUCUUUCCUCACGAGAGGGAGAAAAUCAAGGUAGACGAAAGGAGAAAGUCGCUGCAAAUUGGGGUGGAGUGUCAUCUGAUAGGUCGUUUUCCCCAAUCGAGGCAAAAUGAAGAUGCAGCCCGUAACCCCCUCACCCCACAUCUCCAGGAACAGCGAGAGCCCAACACAACAUCCAACAACAACAACAACAACAGUAGCAACACCAUCAUCAAUAACAACAACAACAUAAACUACAAAAGUGCGGAAAAAACACCAAACCGUUAGCGAGACGAAAAGUCGUUUUACGACGAUGUCCAGCAAACACACAACGCAUCUUUACUUGCUUCACUUACCCAAAGCUAUCGGGGAGUUGAUGGCCGUCGCUGCGUGGCCAAUGGCCGUGGGCAACUAUCGGUUGCCACACUACGGGCUGGCCGGCUCUCUGAACACAGUAACACCUUGACAGUAAGGCACCUAUGUACUCUUCACUAAUCUGCUACCGAAGCUGAGUAUUGAUGCAGCCAUUCGAAAAUUGAUGCAAUCAUUAUAUUUCCCCUGAAUGUAUAUGAUAUAGCGGAUAGGAAUUUAAAAUCUUUCAGCAGCUGAGCAGUAUUCAUCAUUUCAACCCAUGUAAGUGUAGGAAUGGCAUUUUGAUAUUGUCUUUCUGUAUAUCUGUGCUAUCGGGCCGCAAAAAAAUGACAAGGAACGUCCAUCAUCUUGGGAGAACUUCAGAGGAUUCUGCACACUAAUUUUACAUAGCGGCUAUAUCGCAGUUAUUAAUAGAACUGGUAUCUCGUAGAACAAGUUUAGAUAAAAAUAUACGCAGUUUAUAUACGUAUAAUGAAAGAGGUGGCGUCUGCUAAAGUCCAGGAUGAGCUCAAAGUUCCUCGAUGAUGGCAAGUGAUGUUUCUAAAACAAUGAAGUUGGACACAAUUAGAUUUCACCAACAAAUAGGAGAUCAUAAUUCAAAUAUUAGACAACAGAUGUUUGUUGUGCCGGUUCGAAAACGCUGACGACCGAUCGAGCAGCAAUGCGUGCUCUCCAGAAGCGUAUCGCGCUACUUAGGUGGCCACGGUAUUAUAAUUAUCGUGCUUGGGUACAUGUGGCUGUUGAAAGCGUUUGUAGACAAACCUUCCUGCUUGUCCGAGCCUACUGCCGAUGCUUGUCCGAUGAUGUCUUGGUAGUUUUACUUGGCACAUCGAAAUUUUCAUCGAACGGUGUCAGAGUGGUGGAGCUUACUAAAAGACCUGCGUUUUUCCACAGUCCCGCCUAGUGCCUUUUCGCUCUGUCGUCCCUUUUCUUUUCGUAGAACUAAUUUAUUUAACCAAUUAUUUAUGGACCUUGUAAUAAAGUAUCAAUUAAGAGAUCACGUUCCCUGA
Varroa destructor (honeybee mite) is the source of this 1731-nucleotide long non-coding RNA. The record is from RefSeq and is a predicted model, not a curated record. NCBI's taxonomy places the organism in Eukaryota, Metazoa, Arthropoda, Arachnida, Mesostigmata, Varroidae.